UGGGGAAUUUUCCGCAAUGGGCGAAAGCCUGACGGAGCAAUACCGCGUGAGGGAUGACGGCCUAUGGGUUGUAAACCUCUUUUUUCAGGGAGGAAUCAAUGACGUGUACCUGAAGAAUAAGCAUCGGCUAACUCCGUGCCAGCAGCCGCGGUAAGACGGAGGAUGCAAGUGUUAUCCGGAAUCACUGGGCGUAAAGCGUCUGUAGGUGGUCAAAUAAGUCAACUGUUAAAUCUUGAGGCUCAACCUCAAAAUCGCAGUCGAAACUAUUAGACUAGAGUAUAGUAGGGGUAAAGGGAAUUUCCAGUGGAGCGGUGAAAUGCGUAGAGAUUGGAAGGAACACCGAUGGCGAAGGCACUUUACUGGGCUAUUACUAACACUCAGAGACGAAAGCUAGGGUAGCAAAUG
RNAcentral lists this ribosomal RNA (405 nucleotides) under uncultured bacterium. RNAcentral's name for it is "bacterial SSU rRNA". It matches the Rfam family "Bacterial small subunit ribosomal RNA", at positions 355 to 774 of the family's 1533-position model. The record is from RNAcentral.